This is a long non-coding RNA of Scleropages formosus (Asian bonytongue), 115 nucleotides long. RefSeq lists it as uncharacterized. Lineage: Eukaryota; Metazoa; Chordata; Actinopteri; Osteoglossiformes; Osteoglossidae. The record is from RefSeq and is a predicted model, not a curated record. The transcript is spliced from 3 exons.
AGGUCAUUUUGGAACAGAUUUUCCAGAAGAGGAAACCCUAAUACUAUGAACAUGAAUGUAAAUUACAGUUUAAAUAAUGACAGCGUCACCUGUGGUAAAUCUACCCCCAAACCAC